AGGACGAACGCUGGCGGCGUGCUUAACACAUGCAAGUCGAGCGGAAAGGCCCUUCGGGGUACUCGAGCGGCGAACGGGUGAGUAACACGUGAGCAAUCUGCCCUUAGCUUCGGGAUAGCCCCGGGAAACCGGGAUUAAUACCGAAUACGACCUCGGCCGACAUCGGCUUUGGUGGAAAGUUUUUCGGCUAGGGAUGAACUCGCGGCCUAUCAGCUUGUUGGUGGGGUAAUGGCCUACCAAGGCGACGACGGGUAGCCGGCCUGAGAGGGCGACCGGCCACACUGGGACUGAGACACGGCCCAGACUCCUACGGGAGGCAGCAGUGGGGAAUAUGCGCAAUGGGCGAAAGCCUGACGCAGCGACGCCGCGUGGGGGAUGAAGGCCUUCGGGUUGUAAACCCUUUCAGCAGGGCGAAGCGAGAGUGACGGUACCUGCAGAAGAAGCGCGGCUAACUACGCGCCAGCAGCCGC
Molecule: ribosomal RNA, 470 nt
Filed under: uncultured bacterium
Lineage: Bacteria
Description: SSU rRNA
Rfam family: Bacterial small subunit ribosomal RNA
Source: RNAcentral